RNAcentral lists this ribosomal RNA (253 nucleotides) under uncultured prokaryote. RNAcentral's name for it is "partial 16S ribosomal RNA". It matches the Rfam family "Bacterial small subunit ribosomal RNA", at positions 525 to 777 of the family's 1533-position model. The record is from RNAcentral.
ACGAAGGGGGCUAGCGUUGUUCGGAAUUACUGGGCGUAAAGCGUGCGCAGGCGGCUUCUCAAGUCAGGGGUGAAAGCCCAGAGCUCAACUCUGGAAUUGCCUUUGAGACUGAGUGGCUUGAGUACGGGAGAGGUGAGUGGAAUUCCCGGUGUAGCGGUGAAAUGCGUAGAGAUCGGGAGGAACAUCAGUGGCGAAGGCGGCCAUCUGGGACAACACUGACGCUGAAGCACGAAAGCGUGGGGAGCAAACAGGA